This 468-nucleotide ribosomal RNA is filed under the name uncultured bacterium. Its description in RNAcentral is "partial 16S ribosomal RNA". It matches the Rfam family "Bacterial small subunit ribosomal RNA", at positions 28 to 507 of the family's 1533-position model. The record is from RNAcentral.
GAUGAACGCUGGCGGCGUGCUUAACACAUGCAAGUCGAACGGAAAGGCCCAAGCUUGCUUGGGUACUCGAGUGGCGAACGGGUGAGUAACACGUGGGUGAUCUGCCCUGCACUUCGGGAUAAGCCUGGGAAACUGGGUCUAAUACCGGAUAGGACGAUGGUUUGGAUGCCAUUGUGGAAAGUUUUUUCGGUGUGGGAUGAGCUCGCGGCCUAUCAGCUUGUUGGUGGGGUAAUGGCGUACCAAGGCGUCGACGGGUAGCCGGCCUGAGAGGGUGUACGGCCACAUUGGGGCUGAGAGACGGCCCAGACACCUACGGGGGGCAGCAGUGGGGAAUAUUGCACAAUGGGCGCAAGCCUGAUGCAGCGACGCGGCGUGGGGGAUGACGGCCUUCGGGUUGUAAACUCCUUUCGCUAGGGACGAAGCGUUUUUGUGACGGUACCUGGAGAAGAAGCACCGGCUAACUACGUG